CCUACGGGAGGCAGCAGUGGGGAAUAUUGCACAAUGGGGGAAACCCUGAUGCAGCGACGCCGCGUGAGUGAAGAAGUAUUUCGGUAUGUAAAGCUCUAUCUGCAGGGAAGAAAAUGACGGUACCUGACUAAGUAGCCCCGGCUAACUACGUGCCAGCAGCCGCGGUAAUAAGUAGGGGGCAAGCGUUAUCCGGAUUUACUGGGUGUAAAGGGAGCGUAGACGGCCAGACAAGUCAGAAGUGAAAGCGCAGGGCUCAACCCUGGGAGUGCUUUUGAAACUGCCGGGCUGGAGUGCAGGAGAGGUAAGCGGAAUUCGUGGUGUAGCGGUGAAAUGCGUAGAUAUUAGGAGGAACACCGGUGGCGAAGGCGGCUUACUGGACUGUAACUGACGUUGAGGCUCGAAAGCGUGGGGAGUAAACAGGAUUAGAUACCCUUGUAGUC
RNAcentral lists this ribosomal RNA (440 nucleotides) under uncultured bacterium. Its description in RNAcentral is "partial 16S ribosomal RNA". It matches the Rfam family "Bacterial small subunit ribosomal RNA", at positions 338 to 795 of the family's 1533-position model. The record is from RNAcentral.